AUGGCUAAGAUCCGGGAGAGGAAGACGAGGGAUAUUGGCCAAGUCAAAUGCAUCAAGGACGGAGCAGGCCAACUCUUGGUGAAGGACGAGGAGAUUAAGCAUAGAUGGCGGGAGUACUUCGACAAGCUGGUCAAUGGGGAGAAUGAGAGUUCUACCAUUGAACUGGACGACUCCUUUGAUGAGACCAGCAUGCGUUUUGUGCGGCGCAUCAAGGAGUCUGAGGUGAAGCAGGCUUUAAAAAGGAUGAAAGGAGGCAAGGCGAUGGGCCCUGAUUGUAUCCCUAUUGAGGUGUGGAAAGGUCUCGGGGACAUAGCGAUAGUAUGGCUAACCAAGCUUUUCAACCUCAUUUUUCGGGCAAACAAGAUGCCAGAAGAAUGGAGA
RNAcentral lists this ribosomal RNA (381 nucleotides) under Triticum aestivum (bread wheat). Its description in RNAcentral is "partial small subunit ribosomal RNA". The record is from RNAcentral. Lineage: Eukaryota; Viridiplantae; Streptophyta; Magnoliopsida; Poales; Poaceae.